Molecule: non-coding RNA, 483 nt
Organism: Balaenoptera acutorostrata (minke whale)
Lineage: Eukaryota; Metazoa; Chordata; Mammalia; Artiodactyla; Balaenopteridae
Source: the annotation of a RefSeq genome assembly
AUGGGUCCCAGGCUUCUCCACUGUGUGGCCUUUUGUCUCCUUGGAGCAGGUCACAUAGGUGCCAUGGUCAUCCAGAACCCAGGGUACCUGGUUACCAGGAUGGGAAAACCAGUGACCCUGAGUUGUUCUCAGAAUCUGAAUCAUGAAGUCAUGUUCUGGUACCAACAGAAGCUGAGCCCAGCACCAAGCCUGCUGUUUUACUACUAUGAUAAAGAAUUCAACAAUGAAAAAGACACCUCUGAUAACUUGCAGUCCAGCUGGCUGAACACCUCCUUCUGUUCUCUUGGCAUCCGCUCAGCAGGCCUGGGGGACUCAGCCACGUAUCUCUGUGCCAGCAGCGGAGGAGGAGGAGGAAAGGGGCUAUCGAUAUGGGUCCUGCCUUCCAGCCAGAAGCAGGCUGACCUCCGCUGGUUUCUCUGUCCAGUCCAGUCCUAUCCGGAGGAUAAACUUCCCGAACAACCCUGCCCGGCCGAGGGCAGCUAG